Molecule: ribosomal RNA, 757 nt
Filed under: Orthotrichum cupulatum
Lineage: Eukaryota; Viridiplantae; Streptophyta; Bryopsida; Orthotrichales; Orthotrichaceae
Description: partial 26S ribosomal RNA
Rfam family: Eukaryotic large subunit ribosomal RNA
Source: RNAcentral
ACAUAUCACUGAGCGCAGGAGAAGAAACUAACCAGGAUUUCCCUAGUAACGGCGAGCGAACCGGAAAGAGCCCAGCUUGAAAAUCGUGGCGCCCCGGCGCCUCGAAUUGUAGUCUGGAGAAGGUCCCUCUGCGGCGCGCCGGAUUCAAGUUCCCUGGAAUGGGACGUCCGAGAGGGUGAGAACCCCGUCGUAUCCGGAGUGCGUCGCUCCACGAGGACCUGUCUGCGAGUCGGGCUGUUUGGGAAUGCAGCCCUAAGCGGGUGGUAAAUUCCAUCCAAGGCUAAAUAUUGGCAAGAGACCGAUAGCGAACAAGUACCGCGAGGGAAAGAUGAAAAGGACUUUGAAAAGAGAGUUAAAAAGUGCUUGAAAUUGCUGGGAGGGAAGCGAAUGGAAGCUGCGGGUGCGCCCCGGUUGGAUGUGGAACGGCCGUCAAACGCUGGUCCGCCGCUCAACGCGGGGCGCUGGUCAGCGUGGGCCAUCGCGGCGGGACAAGAGCGGGGAUUCGCUUCCCGCCGAUGCCGCUGCGGUGGCCGAGGAACGAAGCGCGCGCCUUCCGGCGUGGGACUCGUCCCAACUGCGCGCUCGAGACGCUGGCGUAUUGAGCUCUUCAUCCGACCCGUCUUGAAACACGGACCAAGGAGUCUAACAUGUAUGCGAGCCGGUGGGCGGCAAACCCAUUGAGGCGCAAGUAACCUGACAGGUGGGACCCCGCUUGCGGGAGCACCAUCGACCGACCGUGAUCUUCUGUGAAGGGUUC